Molecule: long non-coding RNA, 313 nt
Filed under: Glycine max (soybean)
Lineage: Eukaryota; Viridiplantae; Streptophyta; Magnoliopsida; Fabales; Fabaceae
Description: long non-coding RNA (GMAX_LNC001171)
Source: RNAcentral
AUAAAUACAAAUCCAAACUAAAAAAGAAUAAUCGGUUUUCUAGUCAAUAUUCUUUGAAACCCAACCAAUUCAUCCCUACUAGUACCAGCCAGAUUUCACAAGAGAACAAGAGAAAGAUGUAAAAUAUGGCUGGCUCAUCAAAAUCGCAUCCAUUAGACUUCCUUUCUCCCAACCAACAUACCAAACACUAAUAAGAAAGCAAGUAAUAUUUUCCCCUUUUCGUUUCCUGGCCACUGCAUUAUUUAAGUACAACCUACAAGAAACUUCAUUUCAAACCACGUACCAUAUCUGUCUUGUGGCUUGUGGAGUUGUG